UACGUAGGCAGCAAGCGUUGUUCGGAGUUACUGGGCGUAAAGGGUGUGUAGGCGGUUCUCUAAGUCUGGUGUGAAAUCUCCCGGCUCCACUGGGAGGGUGCGCCGGAAACUGGAGGGCUAGAGUGUGGGAUGGGAGAGUGGAAUUCCUGGUGUAGCGGUGAAAUGCGUAGAUAUCAGGAGGAACACCUGUGGUGUAGACGGCUCUCUGGACCACAACUGACGCUGAGACACGAAAGCGUGGGUAGCAAACAGG
Molecule: ribosomal RNA, 253 nt
Filed under: uncultured bacterium
Lineage: Bacteria
Description: partial 16S ribosomal RNA
Rfam family: Bacterial small subunit ribosomal RNA
Source: RNAcentral